Molecule: ribosomal RNA, 738 nt
Filed under: uncultured Alphaproteobacteria bacterium
Lineage: Bacteria; Pseudomonadati; Pseudomonadota; Alphaproteobacteria
Description: bacterial SSU rRNA
Rfam family: Bacterial small subunit ribosomal RNA
Source: RNAcentral
AGUUGUAUCCUGGCUCAGAACGAACGCUGGCGGCAGGCCUAACACAUGCAAGUCGAGCGCAGUCCUUCGGGACCGAGCGGCGGACGGGUUAGUAACGCGUGGGAAUAUGCCCUUCACUACGGAAUAGCCUCGGGAAACUGAGAGUAAUACCGUAUACGCCCUUCGGGGGAAAGAUUUAUCGGUGAAGGAUUAGCCCGCGUAAGAUUAGAUAGUUGGUGGGGUAAUGGCCUACCAAGUCUACGAUCUUUAGCUGGUUUUAGAGGAUGAUCAGCAACACUGGGACUGAGACACGGCCCAGACUCCUACGGGAGGCAGCAGUGGGGAAUCUUGGACAAUGGGCGCAAGCCUGAUCCAGCCACGCCGCGUGUGUGAUGAAGGCCUUAGGGUCGUAAAGCACUUUCGCCAGAGAUGAUAAUGACAGUAUCUGGUAAAGAAACCCCGGCUAACUCCGUGCCAGCAGCCGCGGUAAUACGGAGGGGGUUAGCGUUGUUCGGAAUUACUGGGCGUAAAGCGCACGUAGGCGGAUUAGUCAGUCAGAGGUGAAAUCCCAGGGCUCAACCCUGGAACUGCCUUUGAUACUGCUAGUCUUGAGUUCGAGAGAGGUGAGUGGAAUUCCGAGUGUAGAGGUGAAAUUCGUAGAUAUUCGGAGGAACACCAGUGGCGAAGGCGGCUCACUGGCUCGAUACUGACGCUGAGGUGCGAAAGUGUGGGGAGCAAACAGGAUUAGAUACCCUGGUA